CUACGGGACGCUCCAGUGAGGAAUAUUGCACAAUGGGGGGAACCCUGAUGCAGCAACGCCGCGUUGAGGAUGACGCAUUUCGGUGUGUAAACUCCUUUUAUAUGUCAAGAAAAUGACGGUAGCAUAUGAAUAAGCACCGGCUAACUCCGUGCCAGCAGCCGCGGUAAUACGGAGGGUGCAAGCGUUACUCGGAAUCACUGGGCGUAAAGGACGCGUAGGCGGGUUGGAAAGUCGGGUGUGAAAUCCUACAGCUUAACUGUAGAACUGCACUUGAAACUUCUAAUCUAGAGUAUGGGAGGGGGAGAUGGAAUUAGUGGUGUAGGGGUAAAAUCCGUAGAUAUCACUAGGAAUACCUAAAGCGAAGGCGAUCUCCUGGAACAUUACUGACGCUAAGGCGUGAAAGCGUGGGGAGCAAACAGGAUUAGAUACCCUCGUAGUC
RNAcentral lists this ribosomal RNA (439 nucleotides) under uncultured bacterium. RNAcentral describes it as "partial 16S ribosomal RNA". It matches the Rfam family "Bacterial small subunit ribosomal RNA", at positions 339 to 795 of the family's 1533-position model. The record is from RNAcentral.